This 713-nucleotide ribosomal RNA is filed under the name uncultured Nitrospirota bacterium. RNAcentral's name for it is "bacterial SSU rRNA". It matches the Rfam family "Bacterial small subunit ribosomal RNA", at positions 8 to 662 of the family's 1533-position model. Lineage: Bacteria; Pseudomonadati; Nitrospirota. The record is from RNAcentral.
AGAGUUUGAUCCUGGCUCAGAACGAACGCUGGCGGCGUGCCUAACACAUGCAAGUCGAACGGGUCCAAGAUGCAGGACUCAGGAUGCAGGGGCGUGAUGCGGGACUUAACCGAAGGAACUCGCAAGACGUGCACUUUGUAUCUUGAGUCCUGUGUCUUGGAUUAGUGGCGGACGGGUGAGUAACACGUAGGUAACCAACCCUCAAGCGGGGGACAACCCAGGGAAACUUGGGCUAAUACCGCAUAAGACCACGGUCUGGGAUGAUUGUGGUAAAAGGAGCAAUUCACUUGAGGAUGGGCCUGCGGCCUAUCAGGUAGUUGGUGGGGCAACGGCCCACCAAGCCGAAGACGGGUAGCCGGACUGAGAGGUUGAACGGCCACACUGGAACUGAGACACGGUCCAGACUCCUACGGGAGGCAGCAGUGGGGAAUUUUGCGCAAUGGGGGAAACCCUGACGCAGCGACGCCGCGUGGAGGAUGAAGGUCUUCGGAUUGUAAACUCCUUUUGUCGGGGAAGAUAAUGACGGUACCCGAUGAAUAAGCCACGGCUAACUCUGUGCCAGCAGCCGCGGUAAGACAGAGGUGGCAAGCGUUGUUCGGAAUUACUGGGCUUAAAGGGUGCGUAGGCGGUGGUGUAAGUCUGGGGUGGAAGAUUAGGGCUUAACCCUAAAAUUGCCUUGGAAACUGCAUCACUUGAGUAAGCGAGGGGAUGGC